Molecule: ribosomal RNA, 206 nt
Filed under: uncultured bacterium
Lineage: Bacteria
Description: partial 16S ribosomal RNA
Rfam family: Bacterial small subunit ribosomal RNA
Source: RNAcentral
UGCGUAGGCGGGUCUUUAAGUCAGGGGUGAAAUCCUGGAGCUCAACUCCAGAACUGCCUUUGAUACUGAAGAUCUUGAGUUCGGGAGAGGUGAGUGGAACUGCGAGUGUAGAGGUGAAAUUCGUAGAUAUUCGCAAGAACACCAGUGGCGGAGGCGGCUCACUGGCCCGAUACUGACGCUGAGGCACGAAAGCUGGGGAGCAAACA